Long non-coding RNA from Trichomycterus rosablanca, 256 nucleotides. RefSeq lists it as uncharacterized. The record is from RefSeq and is a predicted model, not a curated record. NCBI's taxonomy places the organism in Eukaryota, Metazoa, Chordata, Actinopteri, Siluriformes, Trichomycteridae. The transcript has 3 exons.
AGAUCAACAUCAGUAGAGAGGAAGCAUAAUGCAAUCGGAGUCACACUUACAACUUAAACAGGUCAAGAUACGACUUCCUCUUAGUGAAGGAUCUCUUCCUGGGCUCAGGCUCAAGCACACAUGGGCCAGCCAGAUCAAACAAGCGCUGUGGACUUCCAAGUAUCUGGUGCAUGCGGUGGUAUAAAGACUGCAGCACAGGCUUCAUGGAUUCCACACAGCUUACGAGACGCACCAGCUCGGCUGCAAUGUAGCAGAU